UUAAAUUGAAGAGUUUGAUCAUGGCUCAGAUUGAACGCUGGCGGCAGGCCUAACACAUGCAAGUCGAACGGUAACAGGAAGCAGCUUGCUGCUUUGCUGACGAGUGGCGGACGGGUGAGUAAUGUCUGGGAAACUGCCUGAUGGAGGGGGAUAACUACUGGAAACGGUGGCUAAUACCGCAUAACGUCGCAAGACCAAAGAGGGG
This 205-nucleotide ribosomal RNA is filed under the name Salmonella enterica. RNAcentral describes it as "partial 16S ribosomal RNA". It matches the Rfam family "Bacterial small subunit ribosomal RNA", at positions 1 to 211 of the family's 1533-position model. The record is from RNAcentral. Lineage: Bacteria; Pseudomonadati; Pseudomonadota; Gammaproteobacteria; Enterobacterales; Enterobacteriaceae. RNAcentral also lists the same sequence under 4 other names.